AUGUUUUCCGGAGCAGGGCACUUGAGAUGUUCAAAAUGCUUCCUGAGAGAGGGCCAAAGGGUGUUCCUGGGCGCCCUGGGAACUCAAGACAUGUGCUCUGGGGCAGGAAGAGGGCAGGUGAGGACCCGGCUCAGGGUCUGCUGGGAGAGGGAAGGAGGGAGCCAGUCAAGGGCAGGAGGAAAUGGAGUUGCAGAUCAUUUGGUGACCAAUGGUGAUUCUGGGUGACUUCCAUCCCAGCAUAGGGAUUCCUCUGGAUAGGAUCAUAGGGCUGGCUCUGGCAAGGGGACAAAAGUCCUUAGUCAUGUGCAUGUAUGUCAGCAUGUCAAUUUUUCAUGGUGUACGCGUCAUCUCACUGACAGGUGCUGCCCGAUCACCUUAACAGCCCUCUGGGACCCGUGGCCAUGUGUUCACAACAGCGGCCACGGCAGGUGUUUCCUGAGCUCUUGUCGUGACCUCUGUCGGCUCCAUCUCAUUGAUCCUCCCAGCAACCCACAGGGAGGAGAGGUUUCUGAACAGAUGAGGAAACUGGGGCGUUUGGCUAAAGCCGUUGAUUUGCCAGAGCCCCACAGCAGUAGCUUCCCAUAGAGGCAGAUGCCACACAAGCCACCCACCCAGAUGCAAAGCCUGAUUCCCUGUGUGGACUGGAUGGCAGUUUCCCAGCUGGAGUUCUCUGGGCCAAGCUGCCUGUGACAUGGGGUUGGGGGUGCUCCAGAGAGUCAUGGCUGUCCCCAGAGGAAGUGACUUGUGGCUGACUGCUCAAGGGGAAGUCCUGGCGGUGGAGUCAUCAGCAUUCAUUCAAAUAAGCCAAAUGCGCAGAUGAUCUUUAAGAGGAGCUCGUCUGAUUUGGCACUUGGAUUCUGGGAGGAACAGGAGGAAGAACUCUCUCAGACUGGGAAUCAAGUUUUAGCUCCCCUUGGGGCUAUUAUUACCUAAGAAACAUGAUCAGGCUCCUGGGGGAAGAAUCGAGCUGAGGACAGCGGUGAGUGUGACCCCAGCUCCUCCACAGGCCCGUGUGGCCUGCAGCCUCCAGGACCACCUGGUGCCCCCCACUGCUGCCAGCAUGGCCCCUCAUUGUGCCCACCCCUGGAAUAUGGGGCUGGAUCUCAGGACUCACUUCUCAUGGGCAGACCAUGGACUACAGCAAAGGUGACAAGAUGUUGCUUCUGUGAUGAGGCCUCAUGUCUCGCUCACUGCCACAGAUGCCUUUGCUUGGUCACUCACCCUGAAGAAAGUCACUGUCCUUGGGACAGGCCCCCACAUAAGGAAUGGAGGUCUCCAGCCAACAGCCAUGUGAGUGAGAAGAGGACCAAAUCCUCCCCCAAUCAGGCCCUGAGGUGACCACAGGCUGUCACCUUGAUUGCAGCUUGUGAAAGGCCCGGAGCCAGGGGGACCAGCUGGCCACUCCCUGACCCACAGGGACCCGUAUCACCAGCUCUGAAGGGCCUCCAGGAAGGCUUGGCGGACUGCUUGAUGCAGAAUGAGAGGGUGGGGUUAAAGUGGGCAGAUGACGAGAGACGGCAUCAGCUGUGAGCCCGCGGAGGCCAGGGCCAGGUGGAGGUCCUGGGUGCUGCGUGAGAAGGCCUAGAUCAUCCAGACACAGAACAAGGGCAGAGCCGUCUUGUUAAUCCGGAUGGAGAUGGACGUCAUCUAUAUGUGUUGCGUUAGGCUGCUGAACUUGGGGAAAUUUUUUGCACAGCUGUAGAGAGCCGACACACCCAAACUCUCCUGGUGGUGUUUAAGAGCACUGGCCCCGAAGCCAGAUGCUGGUGUGCAAAUCCUGGCUCUGCCAUUUGCAAGCUGCACAACCUUAAGUAAAUUCGUUCAUUCUGUGUGCCUCAGGCCCUUGACCUGUAAAACGGGAAUAAGAAUAACGUGUGUGUCAUGGGGUGACUGUGAGGAUUAAAUGAGAUAGCCCCUGCACAUGGCUUAGCCUCGUGUUAGCACUCAGUAUCAGCUCCCAUCACCACAAUUCCUGUUGUCUACCCUUGAAGGCCAGCCAAACACCCAUCCCGCCUACAACUCCUCCUCACUGCCCCAGCGUAUGCUGGCCUCCCCUUGGCACCGCACACUCUGGUUCUCCAUUAAAAACUCUCGAAUUUGUUCUCUGAGGGUCUCAGAUGUGUA
This is a long non-coding RNA of Sapajus apella (tufted capuchin), 2124 nucleotides long. RefSeq lists it as uncharacterized. The transcript is spliced from 3 exons. The record is from RefSeq and is a predicted model, not a curated record. Lineage: Eukaryota; Metazoa; Chordata; Mammalia; Primates; Cebidae.